RNAcentral lists this ribosomal RNA (484 nucleotides) under uncultured bacterium. RNAcentral describes it as "partial 16S ribosomal RNA". It matches the Rfam family "Bacterial small subunit ribosomal RNA", at positions 29 to 507 of the family's 1533-position model. The record is from RNAcentral.
AUUGAACGCUGGCGGCAUGCUUUACACAUGCAAGUCGAACGGCAGCGCGGGCUUCGGCCUGGCGGCGAGUGGCGAACGGGUGAGUAAUACAUCGGAACGUGCCCAGUAGUGGGGGAUAGCUCGGCGAAAGCCGGAUUAAUACCGCAUACGACCUGAGGGUGAAAGCGGGGGAUCUUCGGACCUCGCGCUAUUGGAGCGGCCGAUGGCAGAUUUGCUAGUUGGUGGGGUAAAGGCCUACCAAGGCGACGAUCUGUAGCUGGUCUGAGAGGACGACCAGCCACACUGGGACUGAGACACGGCCAAGACGCCUACGGGAGGCAGCAGUGGGGAAUUUUGGACAAUGGGCGAAAGCCUGAUCCAGCAAUGCCGCGUGUGUGAUGAAGGCCUUCGGGUUGUAAAGCACUUUUGGCGGGAACGAAAAGGACUGUGCCAAUACCACGGUUCGAUGACGGUACCCGCAGAAUAAGCACCGGCUAACUACGUG